This 8656-nucleotide long non-coding RNA is filed under the name Manihot esculenta (cassava). RNAcentral describes it as "long non-coding RNA (MESC_LNC002367)". The record is from RNAcentral. Lineage: Eukaryota; Viridiplantae; Streptophyta; Magnoliopsida; Malpighiales; Euphorbiaceae.
UGGAACAUAAACAUCAUAAAUCAUAGAUCAUGUAUACAAAAGGGAUCUCCAUACACAUAGGGUCAAGCACAACCUCUAAUCCUCAAUAUCAUUUUUACAUAACAUAACUAUUCAUAACUUUACAUCAUUUUACAAUUUAUCAUGUCCACAUUCUAUCUAUUACAUACACAUGACUUCAUCCAUCAUGACUUCACUGUCUAGCCCGUACCUGCAACCCUGGGGGAUUAGGGAAAGGGUUGAGCUACUAGAGCCCAGUGAGCAGAAUAAUAAAACAAUUAAAAUCUCAUGCUCUCAUGUAAUGCUACACAUCACAACUAAUCACAUCAAGGAUGGUAUUGUCACCAAUAGUCCUCUACAUUCCAAAGUGCCGGGACGUAGAAUGGGUCAACCGGUCUUUCUCUUAAACAUAUCAUAAUAUAACAUUCCAAGAUGCCGGGACGUAGAAUGGGUCAACCGGUCUUUCUCUUACAUAGUGCCGGGACGUAGAAUGGGUCAACCGGACUUCCAUACCAUAUCAUGCCGUAUCAUCAUCAUAUCAUAUCAUAUGAGGACUAAAGGAUCAUUCAAUAACCAACUCGCAUCAACAUCAUAGAAUGCAAUGCAACAUAUUCGUGAAUUCUAAUGCAAACAACCUAAAUCAUCACAUGGCAUUCAUGAUGCAUGAACAUUCUCAAGACUUAACAAUUUAUUUGCUUUAAAACAUAAAAGUUUAUUCUACUCACCUCAGCUAGCUCUGACAAUGACUGAAACAGCUGACUCACUGCGGGGUCCUCGGUUCCUCGGGUCCGAACCUACACAGGUGGACUCAAAUGAGGGACCAACAUACUAGAACAUGAAUCUAAAAACAUCCCCCAAAAACCCCCCUAAAACACCUCAAAACAAUCAUGCAAAACAUGCAAAGGAAGGCUGAACAGGGCACUUUCGGCGGCAGGUUCGGCGGCCGAAAGUCCCUCCAAAGCCGAAAGUCAGGCAGGUUCGGCGGUACUUUCGGCGGCCGAAACUCCCAGACAAAGACGAAACUCAUGCAUGUUCGGCGGCCGAAACUGCCCUCCAGAGACGAAAGUCCUCUUUCGGGGGCAGGCUUCGGCGGCCAAAAGUUCCUUCGGCGGCCGAACCUGAGUUUCUCCAACGGCGGCCGAAACUCCCAGACAGAGAUGAAACUCAUGCAUGUUCGGCGGCCGAAACUGCCCUCCAGAGACGAAAGUCCUCUUUCGGGGGCAGGCUUCGGCAGCCGAAGGCUGCCUCCACAAGCGGGUUCGGCGGCCAAAAGUUCCUUCGGCGGCUGAACCUGAGUUUCUCCAAAGUGGCAGAAACUCAGCUCCAACAUGCACAAACGCCUCCCAAACCUUUCAAACAUGCAUAAACCUAUUCUACAACACUCCCAAUCAUAGACAAUCAAACAUAUAAGUUCAUAGGGGUCUCAAACUAGCCUAAACCACAACUUCAACACAUCAAACAUACCCACAUUGCUCAAAAACACACAUUAAACCCAUAAACUCAAAACAACCUAAACAUGCAUUUCUACUCCAUGAAUCAACUUAAAACUUGUUUAAAACAUAUAGUGAGCUCAAGAUCGGCCCUUACCUCUUGAAGAUCGAGGGGAAAAUGACCCUAGCUCGGAGAUGGGAGAGAUUGAGUUUCUUGAACCUCAAAGCUCCAAAACUUGCUUUAUACUCGAAAAUCUUCAAAAAAAAGUGAAAACUUGUGAAAAUCGUGAAAGAUUUGAAGGAAGAAACUCAAGAUCGGUGAGGGACGGCGGAGAGCUCACCUUGGCCGAAAAUGGGGAGAAAAACUCACCCGUUUCGGCUAAGGGACCCUUUUAUAGGUGGCUGGCCAGGCCACAUUCGGGGGCCGAACGUGCCUCCGCAUGCAUGCCAUGUUCGGCGGCCGAACAUGAGGUUGGCGGCCGAACCUGGACUUCCCUCACUUAUGCUUUCGGGGGCCUAAAGCACUCCCGAAGGGCAUGCAUGUUCGACGGCAGAACCUGGGUCUUCCUCCAAGAUUAUUUUCAUGCAAAAACUCAUUUUCUUUUUACUUAAAACCAUAAAAUACAUUAAAACAUUUUAUGAAAACAUGAUUUUACCCUUCUAGAGGUUUUCGACAUCCGAGAUUCCACCGGACGGUAGAAAUUCCGAUACUGGAGUCUAGCCGGGUAUUACGUUCUCUCCCCCUUAAGAACAUUUGUCCCCAAAUGUUCACCAAACAACACAUAGCAUGGCAUACACAUAACAUACAUACAAAGCACAUAAAACUUACUUUAGAAAAUAUGGGGAUAUUGCUGGAGCAUGGACUCCCGUGUCUCCCAGGUACACUCCUCAAUAUUAUGGUGAUUCCAAAGGACUUUCACCAUCGGGAUUUCCUUGUUCCUUAGCUUUCUGAUCUGUGUGUCUAGGAUCCGUACUGGCUGCUCAACAUAGGUGAGAUCUUCUUGGAUCUCCACAUCAGGCUCACUAAGAACCUUGCCCGGAUCUGACACAAAUUUCCUCAACAUAGAAACAUAGAAAAUCGGAUGGAUUCUCUCCAUUGAAGCAGGCAAGUCCAGCUUGUAUGAUACAUUCCCAAUCCUUUGCAAGACUUCAAAGGGUCCGAUGUAUCGUGGAGCUAGCUUACCUUUCUUCCCGAACCGAAUCACCCCUUUCAUUGGAGACACCUUGAGCAAUACCAAAUCCCCCUCCUGAAACUCUACUUGCCUUCUGCGGAUAUCUGCAUAACUUUUCUGUCUGCUUGCAGCAGUCUUGAUCCUUUCUCUGAUUAUGGGCACCACCCUGCUGGUGAUCUCUACUAGCUCAGGCCCUGCCAAGGCCUUUUCUCCAACCUCUUCUCAGCAAACCGGUGAUCUGCACUUCCUCCCAUACAAAGCUUCAUAUGGAGCCAUCCCGAUGCUAGCAUGAUGGCUGUUAUUGUAGGCAAACUCCACCAAAGGUAGAUGCUGCCUCCAAGAAUCACCAAAGUCCAGCACACACAUUUUGAGCAUAUCCUCUAUUGUCUGGAUGGUCCUUUCUGACUGUCCGUCCGUCUGUGGAUGGAAAGCAGUGCUAAAAUCCAACCUGGUACCCAUGGCAUUCUGCAGACUCCGCCAAAACCUGGAGGUGAACUGGGGUCCUCUAUCGGACACUAUUGAAACAGGAACCCCAUGCAGCCUGACGAUCUCAUCAACAUACACCUGCGCCAACUUGUCCACAGAAUAGCCACUCCUGACAGGGAUGAAGUGAGCAAAUUUGGUGAGUCUGUCCACAAUCACCCAUAUGGAGUCCAAUCUGUUGGAUGCCGCCGGUAACCCCACUACGAAGUCCAUAGCUAUAUUCUCCCAUUUCCACUCUGGAAUAGGUAGUGGGUUAAGCAUUCCAGCCGGCUUCUGAUGUUCCAGCUUCACCCUCUGACACACUUCGCAGGCUGACACAAACUGUGCCACUUCUCUCUUCAUAGCUGGCCACCAAUAAACCUUCUUCAGAUCUUGAUACAUCUUGGUGGCUCCGGGGUGAACGCUGUAUUUUGUAUUAUGAGCCUCUCUCAUAAUGUCUCCUUUUAGCCCUAUGUCGUCUGGUACACACAAUCGGCUCCCAUAGCGGAGGAUCCCCUUGUUGUCGAAUCUGAACUCAUUAUCUUUGCCUGACUGAACAGCCCUGGCAAUCUUCACUAAUUCUGGGUCCUCGUGCUGUUUCUGAGCCACCUGCUCUAGAAACACGGGUGCCACUCGCAUCUGAGCAAUCAAUGCACCUGUACCAGACAACUCCAACUGUAGACCUUCCUCAAUGAGCUUGUAAAACUCCUUCACCACUGGUCUCCUCUCAGCCGUGAUGUGGGAUAAACUGCCUAGUGAUUUUCGGCUUAGGGCGUCUGCCACAACAUUCGCCUUACCUGGAUGGUACUGAAUCUUGCAAUCAUAAUCACUCAGCAGCUCUACCCAUCUUCUCUGUCUCAAGUUCAAAUCUCUUUGACUCAGGAUGUACUGCAGGCUCUUAUGAUCUGUGAAGAUCUCACAUUUAACCCCAUAGAGGCAGUGCCUCCACAUCUUGAGUGCAAAGAUUACUGCUGCCAUCUCCAGGUCAUGUGUGGGGUAAUUCAACUCAUGCUUCUUCAGCUGUCUAGAAGCAUAAGCAAUCACCCUUUCAUUCUGCAUUAACACACAACCCAAUCCCACUCGGGAUGCAUCACAAAAAACUGUGAAAUCCUCAUUGCUAGCUGGUAAAGCUAACACUGGUGCUGACAUUAACCUCUUCUUAAGCUCUUCAAAACUCUCUUCGCACUGGUCAGUCCACACAAACUUCUGAUUCUUCUUGGUUAGUCUGGUCAGAGGAGCUGCAACUUUUGAGAAGUCCUGAAUGAACCUCCUGUAGUAACCUGCCAAACCCAAGAAACUCCUUAUCUCUAUUACUGAAGUGGGUCUAGACCAGUUAGCCACAGUUUCUACCUUCUUGGGGUCCACCUCUAUUCCAUUUUCCGACACCACAUGCCCCAAGAAUGAAAUGCUCCUCAGCCAUAACUCACACUUGGAGAACUUGGCAUACAAGCCAUGUUCCCUCAAGGUCUACAGAACCAACCUCAGAUGAUGGGCAUGCUCCUCUGUAUUCCUGGAAUACACUAAGAUAUCAUCUAUGAAGACAAUCACAAAGUGAUCCAGGUACUGGCUAAACACUCUAUUCAUGAGAUCCAUUAAUGUUGCAGGGGCAUUGGUUAACCCGAACGGCAUUACAAGGAACUCAAAAUGCCCAUAUCUGGUCCUGAAAGCCGUCUUUGGCACAUCUUCCUCUCUGAUCCUCAGCUGAUGGUACCCAGAUCUCAGAUCUAUUUUGGAGAAACAACCCGCUCCUGCUAGCUGGUCGAAUAGAUCAUCGAUCCUUGGCAAUGGGUACUUAUUCUUGGUAGUGACUUUGUUCAACUGCCUGCAGUCGAUACAAAGUCUAAGGGAUCCAUCCUUCUUUCUCACAAACAGCACUGGAGCACCCCAAGGUGAGGUACUCGGUCGGAUGAAGCCCUUUUCUACCAGCUCUUGUAACUGUUCUUUCAAUUCUCUCAACUCAGCUGGAGCCAUCCUGUAGGGAGGGAUAGAGAUUGGUCUGGUUCCAGGCAUCAAUUCUAUCUCGAACUCUAUCUCCCUAGCAGGUGGUAAACCUGGCAGCUCGUCUGGGAAGACAUCUAAGAACUCUCUAACCACUGGCACCGAGGCGGGCUCUCUAACCUGACUGCUAAGCUCUCUCACAUGAGCCAAAUACCCCUGACAUCCCUUCCUAAGCAACCUACGAGCCUGAAGAGCUGAUAUCAGACCUCUAGGUGUACCCCUCCUGUCUCCCCUGAAGACAACCUCUGACCCAUCCUGACCUCUGAACCUGACUACUUUGUCCCUGCAGUCCAAGGUAGCACCAUGGGUAGAUAACCAGUCCAUCCCUAGAAUGACGUCAAAAUCUGUCAAGUCUAGAGCCACCAGGUCGGCAGAAAGGCAUCUUCCCUCAACAAAGACUGGACUGCACUGGCAGACUGACUCUGCCACUGAUGGAUCGCACUUGGGUCCACUAACCCAGAGAGGACACUCUAAACCAGAGAUCAUCAGACCCAACCUCUCUACGGCUCUCGGAGCAAUAAAAGAAUGAGAUGCACCAGGGUCCAUCAAGGCAUACACAUCUGAACAACCAAUGACUAAGUUACCUGCCACCACGGUGUUAGAUGCAUCUGCCUCCUGCUGAGUCAUCGUGAAGAUCCGUGCUGGAGCUGAUGGACCUUCACCUCUGAAACCCGCUGAAGAAGAGGCUGACCCUCUCCCUCUGCCUCUGCUACUGGCCUAAGUCGUGGCUGGAGCUGCUGGCUGCGCUACGCUACCUGAAACUGUCUGCUCGGACUGCGCCCCAAAAGCUGCUCUAGGACACUCCCGUGCCAUGUGUCCCUCUUGCCCGCAUCUGAAGCAGGCUGUCGUCCCAACCAGACAUACUCCCUUGUGCGGCUUUCCACACUUCUUGCAUACUGCAUUAUCCGCACCAGAGCUUGAGCCACUCCCUAGUCCCAGACCUGAUUUGAUCUUAUUCCAGAACUUGUUCUUCUUGGGCUUCCUAGUGGUGUUACUCCACCUUUUGCUACCUGAAGCUGCUGCACUCAGAGAAGAAGAGCCUAGGGUCUUAGAACCAGAGGGCUGUGCCACUGACUGCUUAACUGUCCCCUAAAUGAUGGCACUGGCUUCCAUCUUCCGGGCCAUAUCCACUAUGUCAUGGAAGCUCUCCCUAUCUGCUGACUGAAUCAAGGAGGAAUAUCUAGAGUGGAGUUUCAUGAUAUACCUCCUUGACUUCUUCUGGUCUGAGUCAACAUUUUGCCCUGCAAAUGGCAACAGCUCUAAGAAUCUGUCUGUGAACUCAUCCACACUCAUAUCAUCAGUCUGCCUCAACUGUUCAAACUCUAUCAUCUUCAAUUCCCUUGAGCUAUCAGGGAAAGCCCAUCCUGCAAACUCGUUUGCAAACUCUUCCCAAGACAUGCUGUCCACCCUCGGGUUCACAUAAUUCUUAAACCACUCUCGGGCCUUCUUGCACUUAAGUGUGAACCCAGCCAUCUGAAUGGCUCUACUGUCAUCAGCCCCAAUCUCAUCUGUGAUCACCUUGACCCUUUCAAGAUACACAAACGGGUCAUCCCCUUUUUCAUACUAAGGAGCACCCAGCUUCAUGUAGUCGGUCAUCUUGACCUUGCUCCCACCAGAUGAGCUAGGCUUAGGUACUGGGGUUUCUGGAACUGUGGGUUCUACUGGUGGAGGAGGAGGAGGAGCAUCCCCUGGGAUAGGGUUUGCUGGAUUUGGAUAGUAGGGUAGAGGUGGGUACAUUGGGUACUGUGGGUAUGGUGGAUAGUAAGGUGGGUAUGGCAUCUGUGUGGGAUAAGGGUUAAAACUAUGGUAAUCCGAUGUGCCUCCCAUCGAAUACCUGGGGUUUUGUGAAAAGGGUGGGUAGUGAGGUGGCUGAACAAAUCCCGAGGCCUGGGUGCCUCCUUGGGACUCUCCCAUUCCCUCUUCUGACAUGCUCACUCCUAAACUGCCAUCCCUCCUCUGGUCCACAUCCAUCUCAUCCCCCAUAUCCUCUGACAUUCCUCCCUGAACUGUUCCCCUUACUGAUCUGCUUCUACCCAGAUCCAAAGACCUUCUAGGGUCUCUUACUGCUCUUUCUCUGCUGGACCUACUUGACAUUGCCCUAGGCAAUGCUGGAGGACGGGCGCUCGUGCCCUCAUCCUCAGGUGGUACUCCAGUCAAUCGUGCAGAUCGACGAGUUCCUCUCAUCUUGUUUUCUGAAAAACAGUACACAUCACAUAAACAUUAGCAUCAAAUGGUUCAUGUGGAAACACAUGAACCCGCAUCACAUACAUAUCAUUCAUAUCAUAGCAUCAAUGCACAUGUAUAUAAUCAUGGCAUUUCACAUCAUCAUACAAGACAGGACUCCACAUCUUAUCCUAGUGGACAUGAUCUUUCCUAUUGUGCUUGACCUCCUAUAACAUCUAUGAGUCUGACACUCUAGGUCCGACCAUAUGAACCUAGGGCUCUGAUACCAUUCUGUAACGACCCGAAAAUCGGACCGCUACCGGCGCUAGGAUCCAGAUCGGCAUAAGGCCGCUGGGACCCGUAGCAAGCCUGACAUACAUCCUGUAAACCUGUUUAAUCCCAUACAUGAUCAACAGCAUACAUAAAAAUUUGAACUUUUCUUUUCUUUUACCAAGCUCAACCUGUGCAUGCACAUAAGCAUAUACAUAAACAUAAACAUAAACCCCACACUGGAGCUCUCAUCAAAUGCUCCAAUGGGGCAUCUCCUUAUGCACAAGCUUGGUGGAACAUAAACAUCAUAAAUCAUAGAUCAUGUAUACAAAAGGGAUCUCCAUACACAUAGGGUCAAGCACAACCUCUAAUCCUCAAUAUCAUUUUUACAUAACAUAACUAUUCAUAACUUUACAUCAUUUUACAAUUUAUCAUGUCCACAUUCUAUCUAUUACAUACACAUGACUUCAUCCAUCAUGACUUCACUGUCUAGCCCAUACCUGCAACCCUAGGGGAUUAGGGAAAGGGGUGAGCUACUAGAGCCCAGUGAGCAGAAUAAUAAAACAAUUAAAAUCUCAUGCUCUCAUGUAAUGCAACACAUCACAACUAAUCACAUCAAGGAUGGUAUUGUCACCAAUAGUCCUCUACAUUCCAAAGUGCCGGGACGUAGAAUGGGUCAACCGGUCUUUCUCUUAAACAUAUCAUAAUAUAACAUUCCAAGAUGUCGGGACGUAGAAUGGGUCAACCGGUCUUUCUCUUACAUAGUGCCGGGACGUAGAAUGGGUCAACCGGACUUCCAUACCAUAUCAUGCUGUAUUAUCUUCAUAUCAUAUCAUAUGAGGACUAAAGGAUCAUUCAAUAACCAAUUCGCAUCAACAUCAUAGAAUGCAAUGCAACAUAUUCGUGAAUUCUAAUGCAAACAACCUAAAUCAUCACAUGGCAUUCAUGAUGCAUGAACAUGCUCAAGACUUAAUAAUUUAUUUGCUUUAAAACAUAAAAGUUUAUUCUACUCACCUCAGCUAGCUCUGACAAUGACUGAAACAGCUGACACACUGCGGGGUCCUCGGUUCCUCGGGUCCAAACCUACACAGGUGGACUCAAAUGAGGGACCAACAUACUAGAACAUGAAUCUAAAAACAUCCCCCAAAAACCCCCCUAAAACAC